UAAAGAUUUUCAGUAUUUAUUUGUUUGGGUUUUGUUUAUGUGUACCCUUCUUCAUCACCAAAGAUUUGAGGCUACUGAAAAUGAAAACUGAAAUGGCAAUAAAAGAGAGGGGGUUGCAGAGAGGACACAGGAUGGGGAAAAUAGAAAUAAUUGCAGAAAAUUAUGACCCGAUGAAGAGCACAAUCACAGAAGCGGUAAGAGAUGGCAAGGUUGCCAGAGGGCUGCUUGCGCAUCCUCACAAUAUGGUGACUGUCUUCCCUCGGAAAGAGUGAUCCAAGAGAAAUCAAGGACAUGCUGCUGCCUCCUCCUGGAAGAAAGGGAGUGCUAUGAUAAUGGAAGGAGGGCACGGUGUCCCCUUGCAGGAGCCACUUUUGAUCCUGCCAGGACAAUCAAUCCUUCAAGAGCAGCAAGGCCCUGUGGGUACAGGAAGAGAGUGACCCUCAGAUCCCUUCCCUUUGCCCUAAUCAGGGCCACAUAGUAUACCAGAGACCUCAGGGAUAGUGACCCUGGAUGUUCUCAGAGAACUUCUGACCUUUGAACUUGGGGAUGGGCACAGGGAUGUGGCUAGCAUCGCAGCCUGGCCCACA
Molecule: long non-coding RNA, 587 nt
Organism: Cebus imitator (Panamanian white-faced capuchin)
Lineage: Eukaryota; Metazoa; Chordata; Mammalia; Primates; Cebidae
Exons: 3
Source: RefSeq, a predicted model, not a curated record